This is a long non-coding RNA of Strongylocentrotus purpuratus (purple sea urchin), 1832 nucleotides long. RefSeq lists it as uncharacterized. NCBI's taxonomy places the organism in Eukaryota, Metazoa, Echinodermata, Echinoidea, Camarodonta, Strongylocentrotidae. The transcript has 2 exons. The record is from RefSeq and is a predicted model, not a curated record.
UAUGUAUAGGUUCCUUUAGAACAUGUUUCAAUUAGAAACCAUUUUCAAGGGAAACAAAAAAUGUGGUCUUUGUGGUCAGACAGGUGGUCAAUAAAGCAGGUUUGACUGUAGUCACUGUACUAUUUUUGAAAUGGGGAAACAGAGGUCAGAAGGAACACCAGAGUUGGACACUGGUGGAAGUAUUACCUAAUGUCAUCAGUCAUACUGCAGAGCAAUGCUGGUUUUGCUGGAGUUGUAGUUUAAAGUGUAUUUUUACAAUUCCUAUCAAGCAUUAUAUACCUAAAUGUAAACUGAUAUAUGAUCUUAUUUAUGAAAAAAAUUGAUGUUGCGACGUCUGUGACCCUGUUUGGUCUGUGAUCUUAUUACUCACAAAACUAAACAGGUUUCGUAGUGUUGCAUUCUUCUAUCAUGUGAAGUACAUGCUUGCCCUGUUUCUUGAAAUACGAUUUAGAAAUAGCAGGAUAACAAAACCCCUAGAAACCUUUGCCUCUUGAACCAUCUUACACAUGAAGGUAUAAAUGAAUUAUGUUUUCUUUUGUUUUUUUAAAUAUUGAAAGUUGCACAUUCAUUACAUCACAAAAAUAACAGGUAUGAUACCUUAAGGGCCCCGUCUUAUAAACAGUUGCGAUUGAUCCAGAUCAAUUGCAAGUUUACAGUCUCCUAUCUCUUAUACAAUAGUCUGUUCUCAUUUUUUAUGCUUCAGGAAAUGUGUCAAUGUUAUUCAUUGUAAGAAUAUUUUGUCCCCUUCAGCUUGAAUAAAGUUUCCAGCUAUAUAAAAAAAAAGUACUUUUGUUGUAAAUGUAUCAAUCUGUGUGGAACCACAUUUCUGUAUUAAACAUGCAAAUGCUGUGCAAUCAUCGCACGACUCUUCCCUGCACGUACCCAUUGUCCGAUUUUCUUGGCCACACACAUAAUACAUGUAAGGCUAUGUAAAAAAUCUUAUUAAGGGGGAUGUCAACUCGAGAAGAAAGAAAAGCCACGCAUGAGAUCGCAAAUGCCAUUAUUUUUUAUAUAACAAACAUUGAAUGAAUACUGCCUUUUAAUCAUUCAUCUCCAGAUUCUUCAGAAUUUCCCUUGUGAAAUUAUAUUUCAACUUCAGCCAGUGGCCUCAGGGAAAUUCUGAAUUAAUCUGUUCAUAAAAUUAUUUUGUUAUAUUCAACUGUGGAGCAUUCAUUAUUUGUAUAAUAUUCAUUUACACACAGAAAAAGACACAUUGAAUCAUCAUUCUGUUCAUAAUAAUUUAUUUUUUUCUCCAUGUACACAUUGCACACUGACAAGAAAUAGGAUGUACAUAAAAAUCUCACGAUAUAUAGGAACACUGUCCAUAACAAAUUGUACACAGCACGAAAAAAAAUACAGGAAAUAGAAAUGAUAAAGUGAUGCUGUGUUCUACAUGUACAAAAACAAGAAGAAAAAAAUGAUAACCCUACUGUUCAUCUAUUUGUUUAGCUACAGUACUUUUGCCAUAGAAUACAUUAGAUUUUCCCUUCUUUUUAGCUUGCUUACAUACAACAUUGAAUUUUUGCAAAUACUCAAUUUUUUAAUCAGGUGUUCUCAUCAUCACCUUUGACAGCAAGACAUUUUUUUUUCUUCAUUUUUAUAAAAGACACAUAUUUAAACAUAAUUCCUACUAAAGCACCAAAUGAAGGAAAGAUAACUACCUAGUGAACUAGAUUGAUUAAAUAUACCCUGCCAAAUGAUUAUGGUAGUUGAAAAAGACCAACAAAAUACAUCAAGUAAACUGAGUGAAAGAUUUCUAUCUACCGGUACUCUGACUGUUGUUGUUAUUUGUUUACCAAGCUGACUUCCUCACAUGCUGUGGACUUGCUGAA